Molecule: ribosomal RNA, 479 nt
Filed under: uncultured organism
Description: partial 16S ribosomal RNA
Rfam family: Bacterial small subunit ribosomal RNA
Source: RNAcentral
GUACACUCCUACGGGAGGCAGCAGUGGGGAAUUUUGGACAAUGGGCGAAAGCCUGAUCCAGCAAUGCCGCGUGAGUGAAGAAGGCCUUCGGGUUGUAAAGCUCUUUUGUCAGGGAAGAAACGGUGAGAGCUAAUAUCUUUUGCUAAUGACGGUACCUGAAGAAUAAGCACCGGCUAACUACGUGCCAGCAGCCGCGGUAAUACGUAGGGUGCAAGCGUUAAUCGGAAUUACUGGGCGUAAAGCGUGCGCAGGCGGUUUUGUAAGUCUGAUGUGAAAUCCCCGGGCUCAACCUGGGAAUUGCAUUGGAGACUGCAAGGCUAGAAUCUGGCAGAGGGGGGUAGAAUUCCACGUGUAGCAGUGAAGUGCGUAGAUAUGUGGAGGAACACCGAUGGCGAAGGCAGCCCCCUGGGUCAAGAUUGACGCUCAUGCACGAAAGCGUGGGGAGCAAACAGGAUUAGAUACCCCAGUAGUCCCAUGAU